Molecule: ribosomal RNA, 306 nt
Filed under: uncultured Prevotella sp.
Lineage: Bacteria; Pseudomonadati; Bacteroidota; Bacteroidia; Bacteroidales; Prevotellaceae
Description: bacterial SSU rRNA
Rfam family: Bacterial small subunit ribosomal RNA
Source: RNAcentral
UGAGGAAUAUUGGUCAAUGGGCGAGAGCCUGAACCAGCCAAGUAGCGUGCAGGAUGACGGCCCUACGGGUUGUAAACUGCUUUUAUAAGGGAAUAAAGUGGGUCUCGUGAGACUUUUUGCAUGUACCUUAUGAAUAAGGACCGGCUAAUUCCGUGCCAGCAGCCGCGGUAAUACGGAAGGUCCAGGCGUUAUCCGGAUUUAUUGGGUUUAAAGGGAGCGUAGGCCGCCCCUUAAGCGUGUUGUGAAAUGCCGCGGCUCAACCGUGGCACUGCAGCGCGAACUGGGGGGCUUGAGUGCACGCAACGC